This 224-nucleotide unclassified non-coding RNA is filed under the name Hevea brasiliensis (rubber tree). The record is from RNAcentral. Lineage: Eukaryota; Viridiplantae; Streptophyta; Magnoliopsida; Malpighiales; Euphorbiaceae.
ACUGUAAAAUAUUAGUUAUAUUUAAUUUAUUCCUACCUGAUUUAGGAUUAUCAAAACUCCUAGAUAAUAGUUAUCUUAUCCUAAUUGGUUUAGGAUUAUCAAACCCUUUAAAUACCCUUCAUUAUGUUUAAAUUUUGUAACAUUAUUUACAUCUUUAAAUUUCAAUAAACCUAUUUUUGCUUUAUUUUAUUAUUAGAUUCUGGAUUGAAUCUUGUAUUUCUUAA